UGGUGUGCUAUUUUGAACAAUUUUGUACGAUGUCAGGAAUCAGCUACGAAUUUUUAUAAAUUUAUUGAUUCCAUUGCAUCAUCUACUUAUAUUUCAGAAGAAUCUGGAAGCACGGAGUAUGAUGCUAAAAGAGCUAUUCAGAACAAUCCCAGCUAUUGGUGUAGCUCUGGUAAUCAUAUAAAAGACGAAGAGAUUACAUGGACAGGUUAUUUGAACACAAAAGGGUUUAUUAAUGGAGUAAAGAUAUCAUGGGAGUAUAGUCCUGAAUUUGUUAGUAUAUCUGUUUCAUCUGAUGGAGAAAAUUAUAAUAAUGUGAUUCCAUAUAAAAGGAUAUCAGAUAAUCAAGCUUCGUUUGAUGAAAUAUAUUUUUUUAAAAAAUUAGAAGAAGUGAUAUCAGUACGUAUUGGAUUAAAGAAUGCUAUACAUAAAUAUUUUGGUAUUCGUGAAGUAAGAGUUUUGGGUGCUGGUAAUCCUUAUUUUUUAUUAUUAUCAGGUAUAACAAGUGAAGAUGAAAUGUGUUUACAAGUAGAAGAAGGUUUAAUAAACAAUGACAAUACACCUGUAAUUUUAGAUUCAUGUAUAAAUGCUUUAGCAAGUGGUGAUGGUAGAGAGUUAUGGAAAAGUAAUUCUAAUAAUCAGAUAAUAAGUGCUUUUAGUGAUCCACCUAAAUGUUUAUCUGUUAUUAAUUUAGAUGAUUUAGAAAAAAAUAAACUAAUAUUAUAUGAUUGUUUAACUGCUUUAGAAGAUGGGGAUGGUAAAUCAAAUUGGGUUUUUGAAUCGAAUUCUCAAAUUCGAUUACAAAGAAGUGGUGAACCUUUAUGUAUAUCUCAAAAAAAUAUUUAUAGUAAUAAACCAGGUAUUUCUGAUAUUCUUUUAAAUAUGGAUGUAUCAGUAGAAGCUAGUUCUUUAUUAGAUGAUGAUCAUAAUGCUGAAAAUACGAUUGACAAUAAUUUGAAUAGUUUCUGGGCUUCUACUACAUUUUCAAAUAAUUAUGAACAUUUAGUUAAUUUUUUAGUAGAUUUGAAUACAUUAGUUGAUAUAUCUCGAAUUAAAAUAUAUUGGGAGUAUCCUCCAUUACAUUAUAGUAUUAAUGUGAGCUCUGAUGGUCAUAAUUUUAAAAAUGUGAUUGAAAAUUUAGCAAAUCCUAGUUUUAUAACAUUAGAUACGUUGAAAAAUAUUGAAACACGUUUUAUUAAAAUAUCUAUGAUUAAAACACAUCCGAUACAUGGUGAAAUGGGUGAUCAAUUUUUGUAUGGUAUACGAUCUAUAGAAGUACAAGCUAAUAAUUUAGAAACUGUUUUAAACUUUUGUAGGGAUGCUGCAAAUUCGGAUGAUUCUAGGGAUAAAUAUUUUAUUGAAUAUAUAACUGAGUUUAAUGAAGAACUAACGAACAAAUUAAUAAACAUGGAAGAAGAUGUUUCUAAAAGUGUCAAUUCGAUUAGUAACAAUUUAACAAAGUUAGAAGAAUUAUUACCUAAUAUUGAGAACUGUUUAGAAGAAAAAAAAAGUUAUGAUGAAAAAUUAACAAUUUCGAAUGAAAAAGCAAAUACUUUGAAUGAUAAACUUUCUUCUAUAGUAUCUAUUGAUUUAAUGCAUGAUAAAGAUUUGAUACGAUUAGGUAUGGUUCCAGGUGAUUCUUUUUCCUACCCAGCUAAUGAUUGUUCUGUUAUAAAAAAUUUAGAAGAAAUACCACAAUCCGGUUUUUAUUGGAUAAAACCGAAAUGUGCUCCAGAGGUAUUAAGAGUAUAUUGUGAUAUGGAAUCAAGUACAUCUAUUUACAUAUUGAAUAAAAAAAUGGCUAACCAAGUGGACAGUGGUGGUGGUAGUACCGAUUCAGUGAAUCCUAAAAUAGUAAAUUCGGUUGAUGAUAUUAAAAGAUAUUGUGCCGAAGUUGGUUUAGAACCAUUAAUUUUAAAAUCGGAAAGUCAGUUAAAUAGUUUAAUUGUAUCAUUGAAAAGAAUGGGAUAUACAUUAAAUGGUAAAAUAAACAUUCCAUUGGCAUAUGAUUACAGUUGUGACCAUGAUAAUUGUAGUGGUAAAUUUCAUGAUUUAUUAAAUGGUAAUAUAGAUUUAUCAAGUAUUAUUUAUUCAAGAACAUCUGAAUCACCAGAUAGUAGUAAAAAUCGCCAAACUGCUGGUAUAUCUUAUGAUGAUGGGUCAUUUAAAUUUUUUAAUUUAAAAACAUCAGAUAUAUCUUCUAUUGUUUGUUCCACUAAUUUGACUGAAAAUGAUGCAACAUUACAAUAUUUGAGUAUAAAUUGUGAAACAACUGCAAUGGAAAGUGAUUUUAAUGCAAUUUUAAAUACCAAUGUUGUUGUGUUUUGUCCGAUUGGGUGUGAUAGUGAAAAAUAUGAACAUGUUCCAGUGUAUGGAAGUAAAGGGGUAUAUUCAGAUAAUAGUUCGAUUUGUAGAGCAGCUAUACAUUCUGGUGUUAUAACAAACAAAGGAGGGUUAGUAAAUGUAACAAUCGAAACAGAGUUAGAUCAUUAUGAAGGUACUACAAGUAAUAAUAUCGAAUCUAUUUCGUUGGAUAAAGAUGCAAGUCAAUUACAUGAUAUAAUUAUUAGUGGGGAAAAAGAAAAUGUAAAACAAAAAAGUACAUUGUUUUAUCAUAGAAGUAUACGAAUUGGAAAUUUGACAAAAGAUUGUCCUUUAGAUUUGUAUCAAUACAAACAAACAGCAUUUUUGGAGAAAAGAAAUAUGACAACUUCUACAAUGAGCAGUAGCAAAGAAUUAAAAUAUAAUGCAGAAAAUGAAGUAGGGGGAGAGGAAGAUUCGAAUAUAGAAGGAGCUAAAUUUCAUGAAAUUAUUGAUGAAUUAUUUAAUACUAUUGAUUCGAUACAUGGUGUAGAUUCUUCUGUCAUUUCGAUUGUUCAAAAUGAAACAACACGUGUUAUUGAGAAAACAAAAAAAGAGUUAAAACCAGCUGAUAUAUUAUCUAAAAAACAAGUGGAAGGUACUAUGAAUUUGUAUACAUUAACUGAAAAUUUAGCAUUAUAUUUAUAUGACCUUUCCUCUAAAUAUAUGUACGAUUUGGAUAAAUUAAAAGAAAGAUUAGAAGAAUUAAAAAGAGUACAAAAAGUUACUCACAAUUUUGGUACGGUUAAAUUAAAUUAUAAAACAAUGAAUUUUUCUUCUCUUUUUCAUAUUUUUGAUUCUAAGAUAAUAAAAAAUAAUCCAAGUAAAUGGGGAUAUGUAGAUACUGAAAUAUUAGGUCAUAAAAAUAGUAUUGGACAAUUGAGUAGUAUAUCAAACACUGAAAUUAGUGAAGGGUAUUAUGCAACAUUAAAAGGGUUAAAUUUCUAUGAUUUUGAAAUAAAUGUAAGUAUUUUAAGUAAAGGAACUGGUUGUUUUGGUAUUGUAUUUAGAGCAAAGGAUGAUUUUAAUUUUUAUUUAUUUGAUGUAUGUGAUAAAGAAGGAUUAAAAAGAUUAUCGAAAGUGGAAAAUGGAGAAGUUACUAUAUUAAAACAGUAUGAGGAAAAUGUAUAUACAAACAACAAAUGGGAUAAAUAUCAAAUUGUUACAAAACAUGCAAAUAUUGACAUAUACGAAUUGGAUGAUAUAGGAAAUAAGGUAAAAAUAUUAAGUUCUAUUGACGAACGAUUUUUAUCCGGAACAGUUGGUUUAUAUUCUCAAAUU
This 3639-nucleotide long non-coding RNA is filed under the name Piliocolobus tephrosceles (Ugandan red Colobus). RNAcentral's name for it is "lncRNA (ENSPTEG00000007644.1)". Lineage: Eukaryota; Metazoa; Chordata; Mammalia; Primates; Cercopithecidae. The record is from RNAcentral.